UCAUUAAGAGCCCAAAUAUUACAUAAAGGCAUCAGUAAGGACUGCCACAAAUACACAUAUUUCAACAGAAAAAAAAACAAAUUCUUCAGCAUCCCAAGUAGUCAAAACAGCAGGGGGACCAGUCUUCAUAACAGCACAACAGUCUUUAUAUCAGGGGGAACCAUUACCAUUUAAUCUGAGGAAGAGGCAUCAUCUUCACCUUCAGAAUCAGAGUUGCCACUAGAUUGAGCAUUGGACCUCUCACUUGAGG
This 250-nucleotide long non-coding RNA is filed under the name Lathyrus oleraceus (garden pea). Its description in RNAcentral is "Pisum sativum (pea) long non-coding RNA (PSAT_LNC038459)". Lineage: Eukaryota; Viridiplantae; Streptophyta; Magnoliopsida; Fabales; Fabaceae. The record is from RNAcentral.